This 265-nucleotide ribosomal RNA is filed under the name uncultured bacterium. RNAcentral describes it as "partial 16S ribosomal RNA". It matches the Rfam family "Bacterial small subunit ribosomal RNA", at positions 331 to 590 of the family's 1533-position model. The record is from RNAcentral.
CGCAACCUACGGGGGGCAGCAGUAGGGAAUCUUCCACAAUGGACGAAAGUCUGAUGGAGCAACGCCGCGUGAGUGAAGAAGGGUUUCGGCUCGUAAAGCUCUGUUGGUAGUGAAGAAAGAUAGAGGUAGUAACUGGCCUUUAUUUGACGGUAAUUACUUAGAAAGUCACGGCUAACUACGUGCCAGCAGCCGCGGUAAUACGUAGGUGGCAAGCGUUGUCCGGAUUUAUUGGGCGUAAAGCGAGUGCAGGCGGCUUAAUAAGUCU